CUGCCAAGGGCAGUGCUGGGUAGCUAUGUCGGGAGCGGAUAAGCACUGAAAGCAUCUAAGUGCGAAACCGACCCAAAGAUGAGACUUCCCACUACACAAGUAGGUAAGACUCCAGAAAGACGAUCUGGUCGAUCGGCCCGGCAUGUACGCACCGCGAGGUGUUCAGUGGACGGGUACGAAUCAGUCGAGGUCUUGACCUA
This 200-nucleotide ribosomal RNA is filed under the name Heliophilum fasciatum. RNAcentral's name for it is "Bacterial large subunit ribosomal RNA". It matches the Rfam family "Bacterial large subunit ribosomal RNA", at positions 2726 to 2925 of the family's 2925-position model. Lineage: Bacteria; Bacillati; Bacillota; Clostridia; Eubacteriales; Heliobacteriaceae. The record is from Rfam by way of RNAcentral.